GCAUUAAUGGGGUAGUGGUAACCUGGGUCGUUGCCAUCGAUGUGUGAUUGUCAUGCUCGACCCGCCGGGGGUUCGAUUCCCCCUUAAUGCA
Molecule: non-coding RNA, 91 nt
Organism: Steccherinum ochraceum
Lineage: Eukaryota; Fungi; Basidiomycota; Agaricomycetes; Polyporales; Steccherinaceae
Source: the annotation of a GenBank genome assembly